Molecule: transfer RNA, 73 nt
Filed under: Callithrix jacchus (white-tufted-ear marmoset)
Lineage: Eukaryota; Metazoa; Chordata; Mammalia; Primates; Cebidae
Description: tRNA-Val (CAC) (tRNA-Val-CAC-3-1)
Rfam family: tRNA
About the family: Transfer RNA (tRNA) molecules are approximately 80 nucleotides in length.
Source: Rfam by way of RNAcentral
GUUUCCAUAGUGUAGCGGUUAUCACGUUCGCCUCACACGCGAAAGGUCCCCGGUUCGAUCCCGGGCGGAAACA